This is a long non-coding RNA of Pezoporus flaviventris, 991 nucleotides long. RefSeq lists it as uncharacterized. The record is from RefSeq and is a predicted model, not a curated record. The transcript has 3 exons. NCBI's taxonomy places the organism in Eukaryota, Metazoa, Chordata, Aves, Psittaciformes, Psittacidae.
AGACCUGCAGUGGAGACUGGGACAUGUUCAAGCAUCUGUCUCUAUGCUCUCAUCUUUGGAGGAAGGAAAAAGUUUUACCCUGAUUUCCUAGUAGUGGUCCUGCGUUCUGCACUAACCACACAGAAGUAGUUCACAAGGCAUGGUAGAGACCACAGCACCUUUCUGGUGCAUGAGGACACAACAAUCGUUUUCUGCCCAUUGCUUGUGGUUGGCAGUGUCACCUGGCUUCGACAGCAUUGACCUCCACCACUGGGAUUUAUGUGCGGUCUAGAGCACAUGACAGAGAAGGCAGAAGCCCUAAUCCUGAAAAGAACAGAAAACUGCCAGCUCUCAUUGAAGGCUAGAAGAGCAUGGACUGGUCUGCAUUUCCCAACAGUAAACACAGAUACUUCUGAACUUCUAUGAAAAUCAUUUAUGUCCAGGGUGGCUUCUUAUGCUUACCUCACACAAUAUUAUACAUGCAAGCUAAGCAUGGAAUAGGCCAGGAGAAGUCACUGCUACUCUGUGAGCUUCCUACUAGCAUGCUAACUACGGAGCUGAAUUACACACUUCAGUGCCCACCCACUUUGAUUAAGUGGCAGCCUAUUUGCAGCACUAAGGUAUUUACUUGUUUUGCAAUUGCUAAACAUACAUGAGACACUUGUCUUCCAUAUAAAAAAAAAACCUGUAACAGGCACCCUGGAGACAUUACUGUCUACAUACCAUAUAUAAAUUGUAGCCCCAUGAUUAGCCCCAGUGCAUUCUAUUUUGAUGUAAGGCCAAAAGCAUUCUUAAGUGGUCAAAGAAUCAUCUUCCAGUGCACCACAGCAUUCUGUUUUUCCUUACUAAUGGUAAUGAAAUUGCUAUUGUUCAAAGUUUGGAAAGUGUGUUAGGAGCUAGUCUUAAAGUAGAUCAUCUUUCUAGCUAUAUGGAAGGAUGGUAAGAGACAGACUAGCAUAUUUCUUAGGAUGAUUUUACAACUAAAAUAGAAGAAAAUAUAUUAAGAAAAGGA